GGUGGUGGGCAAGAGGCCAUGGAUGUGACCACGACCUCCACCAGGAUUGGCAAAUUUGAGGCGAGGUUCUUCCACUUGGCUUUUGAGGAAGAGUUCGGCAGAGUGAAGGGUCACUUUGGUCCUAUCAAUAGCGUCGCUUUCCACCCCGAUGGGAAGAGCUACAGCAGUGGUGGUGAGGAUGGCUACGUUCGCAUCCACUACUUCGAUCCCCAGUACUUCGAGUUUGAAUUUGAGGCUUAACGGGGCGC
Tinamus guttatus (white-throated tinamou) is the source of this 248-nucleotide non-coding RNA. NCBI's taxonomy places the organism in Eukaryota, Metazoa, Chordata, Aves, Tinamiformes, Tinamidae. The record is from RefSeq and is a predicted model, not a curated record.